Molecule: ribosomal RNA, 253 nt
Filed under: uncultured bacterium
Lineage: Bacteria
Description: partial 16S ribosomal RNA
Rfam family: Bacterial small subunit ribosomal RNA
Source: RNAcentral
UACGUAGGGUGCAAGCGUUGUCCGGAAUUAUUGGGCGUAAAGAGCUCGUAGGCGGCUUGUCGCGUCGGCUGUGAAAACCUGGGGCUCAACCCCGGGCCUGCAGCCGAUACUGGCAAGCUAGAAUUCGGUAGGGGAGACUGGAAUUCCUGGUGUAGCGGUGAAAUGCGCAGAUAUCAGGAGGAACACCGGUGGCGAAGGCGGGUCUCUGGGCCGAAAUUGACGCUGAGGAGCGAAAGCGUGGGGAGCGAACAGG